Long non-coding RNA from Cydia fagiglandana, 723 nucleotides. RefSeq lists it as uncharacterized. Lineage: Eukaryota; Metazoa; Arthropoda; Insecta; Lepidoptera; Tortricidae. The record is from RefSeq and is a predicted model, not a curated record. The transcript has 2 exons.
GUUUAUGACGUAUUAAAAAAAAACUACUUACCAAAUCUUGUUCAAACCAAUUUUCGGUGGAAGUUUGCAUGGUAUGAUGUACAUAAUAUAUUUUUUUUAGUUUUAUCAUACUCUUAUUUUAGAAGUUACGGGGGGGGGGGGGACACAUUUUACAACUUUGGAAGUGUCUCUCGCGCAAACUAUUCAGUUUAGAAGAAAAUGAUAUUAGAAACUUCAAUAUCAUUUUUGAAGACCUAUCCAUAGAUACCCCACACGUAUGGGUUUGAUGAAAAAAAAAAUUUUGUUUUACGAUUUAUGACGUAUUAAAAAAACUACUUACCAGAUCUCGUUCAAACCAAUUUCCGGUGAAAGUUUGCAUGGUAAUGUACAUCAUAUAUUUUUUUUAGAUUUAUCAUUCUCUUAUUUUAGAAGUUACAGGGGGGGGGGACACAUUUUACCACUUUGGAAGUGUCUCUCGCGCAAACUAUUCAGUUUAAGAAAAAAAUGAUAUUAGAAACCUCAAUAUCAUUUUUGAAGACCUAUCCAUAGACAGACAGGUGUGGGGACACGUAUGGGUUUGAUGAAAAAAUGUUUUUUGAGUUUCAGUUCUAAGUAUAGGGAACCCCCAAAAUUUAUUGUUUUUUUUUCUAUUUUUGUGUGAAAAUCUUAAUGCGGUUCACAGAAUACAUCUACUUACCAAGUUUCAACAGUAUAGUUCUUAUAGUUUCGGAAAAAAGUGGCUGU